This 468-nucleotide ribosomal RNA is filed under the name uncultured bacterium. Its description in RNAcentral is "partial 16S ribosomal RNA". It matches the Rfam family "Bacterial small subunit ribosomal RNA", at positions 28 to 507 of the family's 1533-position model. The record is from RNAcentral.
GACGAACGCUUGCGGCGUGCUUAACACAUGCAAGUCGAACGGAAAGGCCCUGAUUUUGUGGGGUGCUCGAGUGGCGAACGGAUGGGUAACACGUGAGUAACCUGCCCUUCACUUUGGGAUAACUUCAGGAAACUGGGGCUAAUAACGACUAGGAGCGCCUGCUUCAUGGUGGGGGUUGGAAAGUUGCGGCGGUUGGGGAUGGACUAGCGGCUUAUCAGCUUGUUGGUGGGGUAGUGGCUUACCAAGGCUUUGACGGGUAGCCGGCCUGAGAGGGUGACCGGCCACAUUGGGACUGAGAUACGGCCCAGACUCCUACGGGAGGCAGCAGUGGGGAAUAUUGCACGAUGGGCGGAAGCCGGAUGCAGCAACGCCGCGUGCGGGAUGACGGCCUUCGGGUUGUAAACCGCUUUCGCCUGUGACGAAGCGGGAGUGACGGUAAUGGGUAAAGAAGCAACGGCUAACUACGUG